This 76-nucleotide transfer RNA is filed under the name Culex quinquefasciatus (southern house mosquito). RNAcentral describes it as "tRNA-Ile". The record is from RNAcentral. Lineage: Eukaryota; Metazoa; Arthropoda; Insecta; Diptera; Culicidae.
GGAGCAGUCGAGACUGAAUGGUAACAAUGUUCGCUUUAUUAGCGAAAGGUCCUGGGUUCGAUACCCAUCUGUUCCC